RNAcentral lists this ribosomal RNA (529 nucleotides) under uncultured bacterium. RNAcentral's name for it is "bacterial SSU rRNA". It matches the Rfam family "Bacterial small subunit ribosomal RNA", at positions 777 to 1304 of the family's 1533-position model. The record is from RNAcentral.
AAUAGAUACCCAGGUAGUCCAUGCCGUAAACGUUGGGCGCUAGAUGUGGGGACCAUUCCACGGUUUCCGUGUCGCAGCUAACGCAUUAAGCGCCCCGCCUGGGGAGUACGGCCGCAAGGCUAAAACUCAAAGGAAUUGACGGGGGCCCGCACAAGCGGCGGAGCAUGCGGAUUAAUUCGAUGCAACGCGAAGAACCUUACCAAGGCUUGACAUAUACGAGAACGCUCUAGAAAUAGAGAACUCUUUGGACACUCGUAUACAGGUGGUGCAUGGUUGUCGUCAGCUCGUGUCGUGAGAUGUUGGGUUAAGUCCCGCAACGAGCGCAACCCUCGUUCUAUGUUGCCAGCGGUUCGGCCGGGAACUCAUAGGAGACUGCCGGGGUCAACUCGGAGGAAGGUGGGGAUGACGUCAAAUCAUCAUGCCCCUUAUGUCUUGGGCUUCACGCAUGCUACAAUGGCCGGUACAAAGGGCUGCAAUACCGUAAGGUGGAGCGAAUCCCGAAAAAGCCGGUCUCAGUUCGGAUUGAGGU